RNAcentral lists this ribosomal RNA (750 nucleotides) under uncultured Rhizobium sp. Its description in RNAcentral is "bacterial SSU rRNA". It matches the Rfam family "Bacterial small subunit ribosomal RNA", at positions 8 to 753 of the family's 1533-position model. Lineage: Bacteria; Pseudomonadati; Pseudomonadota; Alphaproteobacteria; Hyphomicrobiales; Rhizobiaceae. The record is from RNAcentral.
AGAGUUUGAUCCUGGCUCAGAGUGAACGCUGGCGGCAGGCCUAACACAUGCAAGUCGAGCGGCAGCACGGGGGCAACCCUGGUGGCGAGCGGCGGACGGGUGAGGAAUACAUCGGAAUCUGCCUUAUUGUGGGGGAUAACGUAGGGAAACUUACGCUAAUACCGCAUAAGACCGAAAGGUGAAAGUGGGGGACCGCAAGGCCUCACGCGAUAAGAUGAGCCGAUGUCGGAUUAGCUAGUUGGUGAGGUAAUGGCUCACCAAGGCGACGAUCCGUAGCUGGUCUGAGAGGAUGAUCAGCCACACUGGAACUGAGACACGGUCCAGACUCCUACGGGAGGCAGCAGUGGGGAAUAUUGGACAAUGGGCGCAAGCCUGAUCCAGCCAUGCCGCGUGGGUGAAGAAGGCCUUCGGGUUGUAAAGCCCUUUUGUUGGGGAAGAAAUCGUACGGGGUAAUAUCCCGUGCGGAUGACGGUACCCAAAGAAUAAGCACCGGCUAACUUCGUGCCAGCAGCCGCGGUAAUACGAAGGGUGCAAGCGUUACUCGGAAUUACUGGGCGUAAAGCGUGCGUAGGCGGUUCGUUAAGUCUGUCGUGAAAGCCCUGGGCUCAACCUGGGAAUUGCGAUGGAUACUGGCGAGCUAGAGUACGGUAGAGGAUGGUGGAAUUCCCGGUGUAGCGGUGAAAUGCGUAGAGAUCGGGAGGAACACCCGUGGCGAAGGCGGCCAUCUGGACCAGUACUGACGCUGANGCA